RNAcentral lists this unclassified non-coding RNA (396 nucleotides) under uncultured fungus. RNAcentral's name for it is "partial contains 5.8S ribosomal RNA and internal transcribed spacer 2". The stretch from base 1 to 133 matches the Rfam family "5.8S ribosomal RNA", at positions 22 to 154 of the family's 154-position model. The record is from RNAcentral. Lineage: Eukaryota; Fungi.
UGGCUCUCGCAUCGAUGAAGAACGCAGCGAAAUGCGAUAAGUAAUGUGAAUUGCAGAAUUCAGUGAAUCAUCGAAUCUUUGAACGCACCUUGCGCUCCUUGGUAUUCCGAGGAGCAUGCCUGUUUGAGUGUCAUGAAAUUCUCAACUGCCCCAGGCUUUGUGGCCUGCGGGUGAAGUUGGACUUGGAGGUAUGCUGGCGCAUGAAUGGGCUUUUGUGCCCCGUCUCGCUUGUUGGCUCCUCUCGAAUGCAUGAGCUUUCCAAUCCUUGGCAAAGUAUCGUCGAUGUGAUAAUUGUCUACGUCGCCUGAGAAAGCCGAAAAGGGGAAAUCUUUGAUCACGCUGGGGUGACCUGCGUCUGACAAAUUCGACCUCAAAUCAGGUAGGACUACCCGCUGA